Molecule: ribosomal RNA, 253 nt
Filed under: uncultured bacterium
Lineage: Bacteria
Description: partial 16S ribosomal RNA
Rfam family: Bacterial small subunit ribosomal RNA
Source: RNAcentral
UACGCAGGGGGCAAGCGUUGUUCGGAAUUACUGGGCGUAAAGGGCGCGUAGGCGGCCUUCUAAGUCAGACGUGAAAUCCCCCGGCUUAACCUGGGAACUGCGUCUGAUACUGGAUGGCUUGAGUUCGGGAGAGGGAUGCGGAAUUCCAGGUGUAGCGGUGAAAUGCGUAGAUAUCUGGAGGAACACCGGUGGCGAAGGCGGCAUCCUGGACCGACACUGACGCUGAGGAGCGAAAGCCAGGGGAGCAAACGGG